This 453-nucleotide ribosomal RNA is filed under the name uncultured bacterium. Its description in RNAcentral is "bacterial SSU rRNA". It matches the Rfam family "Bacterial small subunit ribosomal RNA", at positions 340 to 784 of the family's 1533-position model. The record is from RNAcentral.
UACGGGAGGCAGCAGUGGGGAAUAUUGCACAAUGGGCGCAAGCCUGAUGCAGCCAUGCCGCGUGUAUGAAGAAGGCCUUCGGGUUGUAAAGUACUUUCAGUCGUGAGGAAGGUGUUAAGGCUAAUAACCUUAGCAAUUGACGUUAGCGACAGAAGAAGCACCGGCUAACUCCGUGCCAGCAGCCGCGGUAAUACGGGAGGGUGCGAGCGUUAAUCGGAAUUACUGGGCGUAAAGGGCACGCAGGCGGUUAAUUAAGUUGGAUGUGAAAUCCCCGGGCUUAACCUGGGAAUGGCAUUCAAGACUGGUUAGCUAGAGUCUUGUAGAGGGGGUAGAAUUCCAUGUGUAGCGGUGAAAUGCGUAGAGAUGUGGAGGAAUACCGGUGGCGAAGGCGGCCCCUGGACAAAGGACUGACGCUCAUGUGCGAAAGCGUGGGGAGCAAACAGGGAUUAGAUA